Molecule: non-coding RNA, 52 nt
Filed under: Pedobacter suwonensis
Lineage: Bacteria; Pseudomonadati; Bacteroidota; Sphingobacteriia; Sphingobacteriales; Sphingobacteriaceae
Source: RNAcentral
ACCUAAACCUGAUGGAAGCGGGCAUGCAAUAAAGCGGACAGCAGGGCAAACA